UACGAAGGGGGCUAGCGUUGCUCGGAAUGACUGGGCGUAAAGGGCGCGUAGGCGGUUUGUACAGUCAGGUGUGAAAUUCCCGGGCUCAACCUGGGGGCUGCACUUGAUACGUAUGGACUGGAGUGGGGAAGAGGGUCGUGGAAUUCCCAGUGAUAGAGGUGAAAUUCGUAGAUAUUGGGAAGAACACCGGUGGCGAAGGCGGCGACCUGGUCCUUGACUGACGCUGAGGCGCGAAAGCGUGGGGAGCAAACAGG
This 254-nucleotide ribosomal RNA is filed under the name uncultured bacterium. Its description in RNAcentral is "partial 16S ribosomal RNA". It matches the Rfam family "Bacterial small subunit ribosomal RNA", at positions 524 to 776 of the family's 1533-position model. The record is from RNAcentral.